Molecule: unclassified non-coding RNA, 370 nt
Filed under: Hevea brasiliensis (rubber tree)
Lineage: Eukaryota; Viridiplantae; Streptophyta; Magnoliopsida; Malpighiales; Euphorbiaceae
Source: RNAcentral
AUCUUCCACAUCUCCUUUCCAUGGUUUUAUUUCUACACAGUUCUCUGGUUGAAGGCUACUUUCUAAUGCAUUACCACUAACAUAUAUAAUCCCUAUUCAACAUGGAAAGAUCAUAUUUAGUUGCUCCCCUUGAUAGCCUAUACCGGAUACACUGCUUUGAAUCCAACUAUCGACAAUAGGAUUGACAUACUGCAAAAUCACUGGCCAAAAUUUUAACUGUCAUUGCAGAGGAGUAUAACAAAGCUUGAAAUUUAUCCAAACCAGAUGCACUAUCACCAACAGUAUAGUUUGCAGAUGUACGCAAAGCCUUGGUCCUCUCCUCAACUUCGUUCAAUGAAUAUGCGUAGGUAGCAUAACCAGCAGUAGCCGC